GGGGCUGAUCGGUUUCGACUUGGGACGUUUGUCCCAGGGGAAGCGGGUCGAGAAGCCAGCGUCAUCUCGUAAACGAUCGCUGGAAACCAAUAACUGCCAACGCUAAGCGCAGUUCCUUCGCUCUCGCCGCCUGAGCGGUGAUCGAAGCGUCUGACCGGGCAUCCGUCUCCGUCCCGGACCCAGGCGUCAUCCAGGAGACUUGCUGAUCAUCUGCCGUCAGGGUGGUUGAUCGGGACUCAAACCUGACUGAGUCCGUCGGUGACGUGUUCGUGCGAGCACCGGGACUGAGAAAACGACAUCACGAACUGCACCCGGAGAAGACCUGGCUCGACGCUCGAGGACCGGGGUUCGAUUCCCCGCAGCUCCACGU
RNAcentral lists this transfer-messenger RNA (370 nucleotides) under Nocardioides caeni. RNAcentral describes it as "Standard tmRNA". It matches the Rfam family "transfer-messenger RNA". Rfam says of the family: Bacterial tmRNA, also known as 10Sa RNA or SsrA, is named for its dual tRNA and mRNA-like properties. Lineage: Bacteria; Bacillati; Actinomycetota; Actinomycetes; Propionibacteriales; Nocardioidaceae. The record is from Rfam by way of RNAcentral.